UACUCCCUCAGCCAUGAGUUUAUGUAUCCAACCUUAAUCAUUUGUCUUAUUUAUUUUUUUAAAAAAAAACUGAAAAACUUAAGUCACGCUUAAAGUACCAUUCAUGUUUUAUAAUCUAAUAACAAUAAAAAUAUUAAUCAUAAAAAAAAUUUAAAUAAAACGGACGAUCAAAGUUGUACACGGAAACUCAUGGCUGCGUUUAUU
Oryza rufipogon (brownbeard rice) is the source of this 204-nucleotide microRNA precursor. It matches the Rfam family "MIR812 microRNA precursor family". NCBI's taxonomy places the organism in Eukaryota, Viridiplantae, Streptophyta, Magnoliopsida, Poales, Poaceae. The record is from Rfam.